UUACAGAAAUCUUAACUGUUUAAAGUGCAAC
RNAcentral lists this non-coding RNA (31 nucleotides) under Mus musculus (house mouse). Lineage: Eukaryota; Metazoa; Chordata; Mammalia; Rodentia; Muridae. The record is from RNAcentral.